GAGCAGAGUAGUUGUGGAGCGGGUCGUGGGAGAGACGGUUGGUUAGCAUGGGCUGGACGGGAAGGUGAUGCUUGCGAUGGCGACCAAGCCGGCGGGCAAGGCAGGGGCGACCAUGGCCAUCGGGGUGUUUUCAAGGGAGAGCGAGGCAACCGCCAUCACGCAACUGAAGAAGUUGAAACCCGGGGCGAAGUUGGUCAUCAUGGCCAGCAUGAAAGUUGACAAACCUAAAUGCCGGUGAUAGGUUCGCUGCUGUCGCGCCGUCUUUAAACUUGGUGGAGACGCAGAAGCAGUGGCAGAGCUAGGAUCAAGCCACGACCCGGGCAAGCCCCAGGCCAAUCACUUGGUACAAUGCUAAACAGUGUAAAAUCCGCUACAGUAAACAAGCCUGAGGACCUAGGCCGCCGCCUGGGCAGCUUGGGGCUUGUCUCCGCCACUGCGCAGAAGGAGAGCGGUGGCGCUGUGAAGACCUCGAUGACUGCUGCCAUGACCACGACCAUGACGAUUGUGUUGGUAAUAAAGAUACUAAUUGUAUACAAAUCCCCCAGCUUCGAAAACAUUAGAUUAUCCAACUUAUUAUUCAAAUUUUUGAUUCAAG
Molecule: ribosomal RNA, 595 nt
Filed under: Triticum aestivum (bread wheat)
Lineage: Eukaryota; Viridiplantae; Streptophyta; Magnoliopsida; Poales; Poaceae
Description: partial small subunit ribosomal RNA
Source: RNAcentral